This 414-nucleotide ribosomal RNA is filed under the name uncultured bacterium. RNAcentral's name for it is "bacterial SSU rRNA". It matches the Rfam family "Bacterial small subunit ribosomal RNA", at positions 335 to 762 of the family's 1533-position model. The record is from RNAcentral.
ACUCCUACGGGGAGGCAGCAGUGGGGAAUAUUGCACAAUGGGCGCAAGCCUGAUGCAGCAACGCCGUGUGAGUGAAGAAGGUUUUCGGAUCGUAAAACUCUGUCCUAAGGGAAGAAACAAAUGACGGUACCUUAGGAGGAAGCCCCGGCUAACUACGUGCCAGCAGCCGCGGUAAUACGUAGGGGGCAAGCGUUAUCCGGAAUCACUGGGGCGUAAAGGGUGCGUAGGCGGCUUAGCAAGCCAGGGGUGAAAGGCAUUGGCUCAACCAAUGUAAGCCUUUGGAACUGUUAAGCUUGAGUGCAGGAGAGGUAAGUGGAAUUCCUAGUGUAGAGGUGAAAUUCGUAGAUAUUAGGAGGAACACCAGUGGCGAAGGCGACUUACUGGACUGUAACUGACGCUGAUGCACGAAAGCGU